RNAcentral lists this unclassified non-coding RNA (240 nucleotides) under uncultured Ascomycota. RNAcentral describes it as "sequence contains ITS2". The stretch from base 1 to 52 matches the Rfam family "5.8S ribosomal RNA", at positions 103 to 154 of the family's 154-position model. The record is from RNAcentral. Lineage: Eukaryota; Fungi; Ascomycota.
AACGCACAUUGCGCCCUCUGGUAUUCCGGAGGGCAUGCCUGUUCGAGCGUCAUAAUGACCAACUCACCCUUGUGGUGGACUUGGAGCUGGCCGGUCUGGCCUCUCUCAAAACCAGUGGCGGUGCUCUUAAGCUCUACGCGUAGUAAUUUCUCUCGCGACAGGGUCUUGAUGGUGCUUGCCAACAACCCCAACUCUAAUAAGGUUGACCUCGGAUCAGGUAGGGAUACCCGCUGAACUUAA